This 630-nucleotide ribosomal RNA is filed under the name uncultured bacterium. Its description in RNAcentral is "bacterial SSU rRNA". It matches the Rfam family "Bacterial small subunit ribosomal RNA", at positions 789 to 1418 of the family's 1533-position model. The record is from RNAcentral.
GGUAGUCCACGCCGUAAACGUUGGGUACUAGGUGUGGGGUCUUAUCAACGGAUUCCGUGCCGCAGCUAACGCAUUAAGUACCCCGCCUGGGGAGUACGGCCGCAAGGCUAAGACUCAAAGGAAUUGACGGGGGCCCGCACAAGCGGCGGAGCAUGUGGCUUAAUUCGAGGCAACGCGAAGAACCUUACCUGGGUUGAACUACGCAGGAAAGGCCGUAGAGAUACGGUGUCCUUCGGGGCCUGCGAUAGGUGGUGCAUGGCUGUCGUCAGCUCGUGUCGUGAGAUGUUGGGUUAAGUCCCGCAACGAGCGCAACCCUUGUCCUAUGUUGCCAGCGGGUAAUGCCGGGGACUCGUAGGAGACUGCCGGGGUCAACUCGGAGGAAGGUGGGGAUGACGUCAAGUCAUCAUGCCCCUUAUGUCCAGGGCUGCACACAUGCUACAAUGGCCGGUACAAAGGGCUGCUACUCCGCGAGGAUGAGCGAAUCCCACAAAGCCGGUCUCAGUUCGGAUUGGAGUCUGCAACUCGACUCCAUGAAGUCGGAGUCGCUAGUAAUCCCGAAUCAGCAACGUCGGGGUGAAUACGUUCCCGGGCCUUGUACACACCGCCCGUCACACCACGAAAGUCGGCAAC